GGACUACCAGGGUAUCUAAUCCUGUUUGCUACCCACGCUUUCGUAGUUGAGUGUCAAUACUGUUCCAGGUCGCCGCCUUCGCCUCUGGUGUUCCUCCCGAUCUCUACGCAUUUCACCGCUACACCGGGAAUUCCACGACCCUCUCACAGAUUCUAGUCUCACCGUUUCUGGGGCACUUCUUGAGUUAAGCUCAAGGCUUUCACCCCAGACAAAUGAGACAACCUACCUACCCUUUACGCCCAAUAAUUCCGAGCAACGCUCGCACCCUUCGUAUUACCGCGGCUGCUGGCAC
This 292-nucleotide ribosomal RNA is filed under the name uncultured bacterium. Its description in RNAcentral is "partial 16S ribosomal RNA". The record is from RNAcentral.